RNAcentral lists this ribosomal RNA (321 nucleotides) under Triticum aestivum (bread wheat). RNAcentral's name for it is "partial small subunit ribosomal RNA". The record is from RNAcentral. Lineage: Eukaryota; Viridiplantae; Streptophyta; Magnoliopsida; Poales; Poaceae.
AUGUGGUCUCGCAAGAUCCGGGCAGCACACGCCCUGAAGAUGCCGUCAUGGUUUGUUGGUUGCUCACGCUCCGGAUGCAAAAUUCUGGGUCGACUUGGUCGACGCCGGUGGCAACGGCGGCUGUGGCUGUCGUUUUCCUCGCGGAGGGGCCGCCGUGGAGCUGUUUUUCAGCCGCAAACCUCCUGUUUCGUUGUUUUCCGGGUGAAAACCUAUGGUCGGGCUUGCCGGAUCGGGUGGCGGUGGUGUCUCUGGCAUCAUUCCCUUCUUGGAGGCGCCAUCUUGGAGACACGAACUUCGGCUAGUGUUGGUGUGUGUGGAUGA